CAGGGAUUUCUAGGAAAAUAAGCGAUAUUUCAGGUGAAAAACAGGGAUUUCUGGGAAAAUAAGCGAUAUUUCAGGUUAAAAACAGGGAUUUCUAUGAAAAUAAGCGAUAUUUAAGGUUAAAAACAGGGAUUUCUAUGAAAAUAAGCGAUAUUUAAGGUUAAAAACAGGGAUUUCUAUGAAAAUAAGCGAUAUUUUAGGGGAAAAAGAGGGAUUUCUAUGAAAAUAAGCGAUAUUUAAGGUUAAAAACAGGGAUUUCUAUGAAAAUAAGCGAUAUUUAAGGUUAAAAACAGGGAUUUCUAUGAAAAUAAGCGAUAUUUUAGGGGAAAAACAGGGAUUUCUAUGAAAAUAAGCGAUAUUUUAGGUUAAAAACAGGGAUUUCUAUGAAAAUAAGCGAUAUUUAUGGUUAAAAACAGGGAUUUCUAUGAAAAUAAGCGAUAUUUCAGGUUAAAAACAGGGAUUUCUAUGAAAAUAAGCGAUAUUUAAGGGGAAAAACAGGGAUUUCUAUGAAAAUAAGCGAUAUUUCAGGUUAAAAACAGGGAUUUCUAUGAAAAUAAGCGAUAUUUCAGGUUAAAAACAGGGAUUUCUAUGAAAAUAAGCGAUAUUUCAGGUUAAAAACAGGGAUUUCUAUGAAAAUAAGCGAUAUUUCAGGUUAAAAACAGGGAUUUCUAUGAAAAUAAGCGAUAUUUAAGGUUAAAAACAGGGAUUUCUAGGAAAAUAAGCGAUAUUUCAGGUUAAAAACAGGGAUUUCUAUGAAAAUAAGCGAUAUUUAAGGUUAAAAACAGGGAUUUCUAUGAAAAUAAGCGAUAUUUUAGGGGAAAAACAGGGAUUUCUAUGAAAAUAAGCGAUAUUUAAGGUUAAAAACCGGGAUUUCUAUGAAAAUCAGCGAUAUUUAAGGGGAAAAACAGGGAUUUCUAUGAAAAUAAGCGAUAUUUUAGGG
This is a long non-coding RNA of Lagopus muta (rock ptarmigan), 937 nucleotides long. RefSeq lists it as uncharacterized. The record is from RefSeq and is a predicted model, not a curated record. Lineage: Eukaryota; Metazoa; Chordata; Aves; Galliformes; Phasianidae. The transcript has 3 exons.